RNAcentral lists this ribosomal RNA (253 nucleotides) under uncultured bacterium. Its description in RNAcentral is "partial 16S ribosomal RNA". It matches the Rfam family "Bacterial small subunit ribosomal RNA", at positions 524 to 776 of the family's 1533-position model. The record is from RNAcentral.
UACGAAGGGGGCUAGCGUUGCUCGGAAUCACUGGGCGUAAAGCGCACGUAGGCGGUCUCUUAAGUCAGGGGUGAAAUCCUGGAGCUCAACUCCAGAACUGCCUUUGAUACUGGGAGUCUUGAGUUCGGGAGAGGUGAGUGGAACUGCGAGUGUAGAGGUGAAAUUCGUAGAUAUUGGGAAGAACACCGGUGGCGAAGGCGGCGACCUGGUCCGAUACUGACGCUGAGGCGCGAAAGCGUGGGGAGCAAACAGG